Long non-coding RNA from Homo sapiens (human), 577 nucleotides. Ensembl annotates it as long intergenic non-protein coding RNA 3033. The record is from Ensembl. Lineage: Eukaryota; Metazoa; Chordata; Mammalia; Primates; Hominidae.
CUCAUUUCUAGGGGAAGAAGCAUAGGAAUAAGAAUCAAAAGAUUCACAUUCUAAUCUUGGCCCAGCCUCCAAACAGCAGUGUGACGUGGUCCAAGAAGUGGCGCUGCCCUAAACACUCAUUACAUCUUCACAGCAUGAACAGGAACCUGAUGAAAUGCCUGGUCUAACAGGAGGAUGCAGAGAAAGUUAUGAAGAGAGGAUCCUGAGGAAUUUGCUCCUGGGCCAUGAAGAUGGGAAGCUGAGUCAGAGUGCAGUUCUUCACCCAAUCCCACAGCCACACGUGCCUGCUUGCUCACGGGAUCUUCCCACUCUCCUCGGGAAGGCUUCCGAGCUGCUUCCUCAGGAUGUCCUGUGAUAGCAGCCUGACCUGUCAAAGCCAUGCGAAUACCAUCUGUUCAGUUAUAUAACUUGAGAUCUGGGAAGAAUUCUCAACGUAGGAUUUGCUGCCCAAAUCAAAUCAUUUUCAGAAAGGAGAUUAAGCAUUCUUUGCUGGGAAAAGGAGAAAUUACCAGAAAAAAUUAUCAUUUCACUGAGUAUAAACAAACCUUUGUCCAAAAUACACAAAUGAAAAUGACAA